This is a long non-coding RNA of Panicum virgatum (switchgrass), 2019 nucleotides long. RefSeq lists it as uncharacterized. The transcript has 6 exons. Lineage: Eukaryota; Viridiplantae; Streptophyta; Magnoliopsida; Poales; Poaceae. The record is from RefSeq and is a predicted model, not a curated record.
AUCGCGUCCCCAUCUCUGCCCCUCGCGCAGAUCCCGGGUCCGCCCAGCCAGCCGCCAUGCCAGCGCCUCCGCACGCCAGUCCGCUAUCUCCGCCCCAACUGCAGUCUCCUCGCCGCCGCCGCCCUCCUCCUCGCCUCUCGCCACUCCUCGCGGCGCGCCCCGUCAUCCACCCUCGCGCCAUCGCCGUCGUCGGAACCCUAGGCCGUCGAGUCGGAGCUCCCGUCGGCGGGGAACCGGGUGGGGGAGGAUGCAGCUGUGGAUCUAGACGAGCAUGCGCAGCAUCAACAUCUCACCAUCUCCACCAGCAAUGGCGUCGUCGACUCCAUGAAGGUGCGCAUCACGCCGCAGCCGCCCCCACCGCCUUCGCGGCCGUCCCGGCUCACGCGGGCGCCGUACCCACCUGCUUGCCUUCAAUUUGCGGCCGCCUGCCGGGCGCUAUGCUUAGCGUCCGCCGAUUUGCCACCGCCUUGCCCGCGUCCCUCCGCCAUCUCUGACGCCGCCGCACCGUCCGCCGGCCUAUCGUCGCCGCUGCCUGCUCAUGAUGAGGCUCCGUCCUUGCCGCAAAAAUCAGACCUCAACCCCGCCGCUCCUUGCUUUCUCCCCUGCCGCUGCCAGGUGUCAUCCUCUCUAGCUGCUCCUCCCAUCCUACCCUGCCGCAACCAUCAGAGAUCCAUCCUGCCGCUCCCCAAUUAGCGAUGUUAUCGUGUCCCUCCGCUGCCAUCGCCACCGCCGCCGCCUAGCCAUGGCGAGCCUCUCUCUUUGCCGCAGCCAUAGACCUUCACUGUUGCUACCCAACUAGCAGGCAGCAUCUUCUUGCCUUGAUGAUACAUGACAUAUCCGUGCAUGUCUGAAGAACUGAAGCUCAUUGCAUGCCUUCCGUUCCUUGCCUUGAUAUAAUGCCACGGUGAUUGAAUGACAAGUGUUUUAUGGCUUCGGUGACUUGGAGUCCAAGGGAUUCCUCAUUCAUCAGCCAUUUUCCAUUUAAUGCAACGAGUAAGCAAGCCAACAAAAAUGAUGCAAAAGAACUGCAUUACAAGAACCGAAUCUGCCCACUCGAAAAAGUAUUGAUGUGACGAUGCCGCGCUCCCAGAAAUGGAACAAAGAUGAGUUCCAACAAGCUUCCAGUGUCGCGCGGGCAUGAGGCCGUGGCAAUGGCCAUAGAGAAUGCUGGGCCAGUGCAUUUCUUCAUGACUAGUUGCUUUACUUAAUCUCACUGAAAUAUCAUCAACUUGGGCAAGGGUUAUUGAUGUCAUGGAUAGUGAGUGAUUUCUUCUUAUUGCUUUGAGAUGACCAAUCUGCAAUCCCGCGUCUUCUGUAGACAAAUUUUGUGGUUCAUUGCUACCACAAAGAUAAUCCACAUCUCUGUGAUCAACUGUGAUUUUUUUUAAUGAUUAAUGAUGAAAACACAAGUUGGAAAAGUUGCCAUUAGGUCCUGAGUCCUAGCUGUUUCUCUCGCGCUUCUUUUUUUUUUCCUCCUGAGCUUUAUUUUUGUUUGGACUGCCUUGUACCAUAUUUUUUGCUUCUUAAUAUAAUUGUAGGCAGUCCUCCUGCCCGUUAAAAAGAAAAAGGUUGCAUUUACACUGAAUUUGUAGGCAGCACUAGGAUUUGGUUUGGCAUUUACACUGAAGUUGGAAAAGUGCAGUUGUCUUAUCCUUCUUUUACUUUCAGGUAUGGUUAUAAAUAUGUAUCUCUACAUGCACUGUCAAGCUUGCAUGUAAUUAUUUGAACAUAUCAUGGUACAAAGAGCACAUCAAUUGCUCUCCAAAUCACCUUUUCUCCAUGAUUUUCAGAAACUGACAAUAAUAGCUACCACAAUUGGAUUUCUGAAAAAUUUUAUUCUGCAGAAAGGAUGUGCAGGAAUUAUUUCUUUCUUAUAAUCUAGAGCAAUUUACUUUUAUAAUUUUUCAAAUAUGUUAUUGGCAUGAUGAUGUAAUAAUGGACAAUGAUCGUAUGCAUUGGAUGAUGCAAAAUGUCAGAUCUUUAUCCAUUUUUUAUUCUAAAAAAGGAAGGUUGGAGCAU